Small nuclear RNA from Protopterus annectens (West African lungfish), 129 nucleotides. RefSeq annotates it as U4 spliceosomal RNA. The record is from RefSeq and is a predicted model, not a curated record. The transcript has a single exon. Lineage: Eukaryota; Metazoa; Chordata; Ceratodontiformes; Protopteridae.
UGCUUUGUGCAGUAGAAAUAUCAGAACUUAUGAAGAACAACUGAUUAUUUCUAAUUGAAAACUUUACCCAAUACCACACCAAGUCUGUGUUUAUACAGACUGGGCAGCUUUUAAUAAUCUCUGUAGAGA